GCCGCAAUGGUGGAAUUGGUAGACACGAGGGACUUAAAAUCCCUUGGCCGUAAGGCUGUGCGGGUUCGAGUCCCGCUCGCGGCA
RNAcentral lists this transfer RNA (84 nucleotides) under Prevotella sp. RNAcentral describes it as "tRNA-Leu". It matches the Rfam family "tRNA". Rfam says of the family: Transfer RNA (tRNA) molecules are approximately 80 nucleotides in length. Their secondary structure includes four short double-helical elements and three loops (D, anti-codon, and T loops). RNAcentral also lists the same sequence under 1 other name. The record is from RNAcentral. Lineage: Bacteria; Pseudomonadati; Bacteroidota; Bacteroidia; Bacteroidales; Prevotellaceae.